Molecule: ribosomal RNA, 497 nt
Filed under: uncultured bacterium
Lineage: Bacteria
Description: partial 16S ribosomal RNA
Rfam family: Bacterial small subunit ribosomal RNA
Source: RNAcentral
GAUGAACGCUGGCGGCGUGCCUAAUACAUGCAAGUCGAGCGAACAGACGAGGAGCUUGCUCCUCUGACGUUAGCGGCGGACGGGUGAGUAACACGUGGAUAACCUACCUAUAAGACUGGGAUAACUUCGGGAAACCGGAGCUAAUACCGGAUAAUAUAUAGAACCGCAUGGUUCAAUAGUGAAAGACGGUUUUGCUGUCACUUAUAGAUGGAUCCCCGCCGCAUUAGCUAGUUGGUAAGUUAACGGCUUACCAAGGCAACGAUGCGUAGCCGACCUGAGAGGGUGAUAGGCCACACUGGAACUGAGACACGGUCCAGACUCCUACGGGAGGCAGCAGUAGGGAAUCUUCCGCAAAGGGCGAAAGCCUGACGGAGCAACGCCGCGUGAGUGAUGAAGGUCUUCGGAUCGUAAAACUCUGUUAUUAGGGAAGAACAAAUGUGUAAGUAACUAUGCACGUCUUGACGGUACCUAAUCAGAAAGCCACGGCUAACUACGUG